This 82-nucleotide transfer RNA is filed under the name Pseudomonadota bacterium. RNAcentral's name for it is "tRNA-Leu". It matches the Rfam family "tRNA". From Rfam's summary of the family: Transfer RNA (tRNA) molecules are approximately 80 nucleotides in length. Their secondary structure includes four short double-helical elements and three loops (D, anti-codon, and T loops). Further hydrogen bonds mediate the characteristic L-shaped molecular structure. tRNAs have two regions of fundamental functional importance: the anti-codon, which is responsible for specific mRNA codon recognition, and the 3' end, to which the tRNAs corresponding amino acid is attached (by aminoacyl-tRNA synthetases). tRNAs cope with the degeneracy of the genetic code in two manners: having more than one tRNA (with a specific anti-codon) for a particular amino acid; and 'wobble' base-pairing, i.e. permitting non-standard base-pairing at the 3rd anti-codon position. RNAcentral also lists the same sequence under 1 other name. Lineage: Bacteria; Pseudomonadati; Pseudomonadota. The record is from RNAcentral.
GCCGGGGUGGUGGAAAUGGCAGACACGCAUGGUUGAGGGCCAUGUGCCUCACGGCAUGCAGGUUCAAAUCCUGUCCCCGGCA